This 119-nucleotide ribosomal RNA is filed under the name Castor canadensis (American beaver). Lineage: Eukaryota; Metazoa; Chordata; Mammalia; Rodentia; Castoridae. The record is from RNAcentral.
GUCCACAUCCAUACUACCCUAAAUGUGCCUGAUCUCAUCUGACCUCAGAAGCUAAGUAGGGUUUGGUUCAGUUAGUAUUUGGGACAGGAGACAACCUGGAAAACAGGGGGCUGCAGGCU